AAUAGAUACCCUGGUAGUCCACGCCGUAAACGAUGAGUGCUAAGUGUUGGGGGGUUUCCGCCCCUCAGUGCUGCAGCUAACGCAUUAAGCACUCCGCCUGGGGAGUACGGUCGCAAGACUGGAACUCAAAGGAAUUGACGGGGGCCCGCACAAGCGGUGGAGCAUGUGGUUUAAUUCGAAGCAACGCGAAGAACCUUACCAGGUCUUGACAUCCCGGUGACCACUAUGGAGACAUAGUUUCCCCUUCGGGGGCAACGGUGACAGGUGGUGCAUGGUCGUCGUCAGCUCGUGUCGUGAGAUGUUGGGCUAAGUCCCGCAACGAGCGCAACCCUUAUUCUUAGUUGCCAUCAUUCAGUUGGGCACUCUAAGGAGACUGCCGGUGAUAAACCGGAGGAAGGUGGGGAUGACGUCAAAUCAUCAUGCCCCUUAUGACCUGGGCUACACACGUGCUACAAUGGACGGUACAAACGGUUGCCAACCCGCGAGGGGGAGCUAAUCCGAUAAAAACCCGUUCUCAGUUCGGAUUGUAGGCUGCAACUCGCCUAC
Molecule: ribosomal RNA, 546 nt
Filed under: uncultured bacterium
Lineage: Bacteria
Description: bacterial SSU rRNA
Rfam family: Bacterial small subunit ribosomal RNA
Source: RNAcentral